RNAcentral lists this small RNA (88 nucleotides) under Lacticaseibacillus paracasei. RNAcentral's name for it is "Lactobacillus paracasei mraW". The record is from RNAcentral. Lineage: Bacteria; Bacillati; Bacillota; Bacilli; Lactobacillales; Lactobacillaceae.
UAGAAACCGGAACAUAAGUGGCCUCAGACAGAAAUGGCUGGGCUUUGGCCAUUUCUGUCUGAGGUCCUUAUGUGCAGGUUUCUGGGCU